UCGGGAAUAUUGCGCAAUGGAGGAAACUCUGACGCAGUGACGCCGCGUAUAGGAAGAAGGUUUUCGGAUUGUAAACUAUUGUCGUUAGGGAAGAGAAAGGACAGUACCUAAGGAGGAAGCUCCGGCUAACUACGUGCCAGCAGCCGCGGUAAUACGUAGGGAGCGAGCGUUAUCCGGAAUUAUUGGGUGUAAAGGGUGCGUAGACGGGAAGAUAAGUUAGUUGUGAAAUCCCUCGGCUUAACUGAGGAACUGCAACUAAAACUGUUUUUCUUGAGUGCAGGAGAGGUAAGUGGAAUUUCUAGUGUAGCGGUGAAAUGCGUAGAUAUUAGGAGGAACACCAGUGGCGAAGGCGACUUACUGGACUGUAACUGACGUUGAGGCACGAAAGUGUGGGGAGCAAACAGG
RNAcentral lists this ribosomal RNA (405 nucleotides) under uncultured Eubacteriales bacterium. RNAcentral describes it as "bacterial SSU rRNA". It matches the Rfam family "Bacterial small subunit ribosomal RNA", at positions 355 to 776 of the family's 1533-position model. The record is from RNAcentral. Lineage: Bacteria; Bacillati; Bacillota; Clostridia; Eubacteriales.